GUGUGCCACGCGUGCACCGCCGGUCCCGUGCGCCAUUCGCACGCACCUGACGGCCGCUCGCUUCGCGUUGCUGGCU
Molecule: small RNA, 76 nt
Filed under: Xanthomonas oryzae
Lineage: Bacteria; Pseudomonadati; Pseudomonadota; Gammaproteobacteria; Lysobacterales; Lysobacteraceae
Also listed under: 1 other name
Description: Xanthomonas sRNA sX9
Rfam family: Xanthomonas sRNA sX9
Source: RNAcentral